CGCAGGUCUCGGCUGGCCCCGGAGCCAGGGGGACGCGGCGGGCGGCUCGUGCGUGCCAAGCGCGACAUGGCGCGGAAGCCGAGAAGCCCCGGAGGCCUAGUGAGCACGGGGAGGGGCUAGACACUGGCUGGACAACCAUUACGGAGCUGGGGGCGGGCGGCUCGGGGACUACAUUUCCCAGGACGCCAAGCGGUCGCGCUCGGAAGUGAUGCGCCACGGGCUCAGUGCGCAGGCGCAAGCGCCGCCAAGGUCUAUAUAAGGAGGGUUCGCCGCCGCUCUCGUCCUUUUGUUCCCGCGGUUCCUAAAGCGUUUGCUGUGUUUUCGAUGUCUCGUCUCUGCGGGAUUAACUUGCAGAUGGUUGGCCUGAUCAAGCAGGACAGCAUGGAGGUUGGAGGAAGAGAAGGGCAUCGAGGGAGAUGAGAACUCGCCUACCAUCUGAAAGUCUCAAGGUUUGCUGACAGACAAAACCAGGCUUUGAAUGGAGCAUGAACUCCUGAGGCGAGCACUGGCCUGAGGGAGCCAAGGAUGCCGGUGUUGGUCUGAUCUUUCAGGUACUUUUGGAAUACAGAACCCCAGCUGUGUUCCUGCUGCCCAGCCCCAUGAGGCCAUGCAGAAUGCAAAGAAGAGUUACUUUGGGCUGGGGAGUAGUGGUAUCAUGUGCACAACUGCUGGAAAUAAUAAAAAAUAUUGACUGUCCGUAGAAAUAAAAAUCUGACU
Mus caroli (Ryukyu mouse) is the source of this 717-nucleotide long non-coding RNA. RefSeq lists it as uncharacterized. NCBI's taxonomy places the organism in Eukaryota, Metazoa, Chordata, Mammalia, Rodentia, Muridae. The record is from RefSeq and is a predicted model, not a curated record.